This 496-nucleotide ribosomal RNA is filed under the name uncultured bacterium. Its description in RNAcentral is "bacterial SSU rRNA". It matches the Rfam family "Bacterial small subunit ribosomal RNA", at positions 903 to 1397 of the family's 1533-position model. The record is from RNAcentral.
AAAGGAAUUGACGGGGGCCCGCACAAGCAGCGGAGCAUGUGGUUUAAUUCGAAGCAACGCGAAGAACCUUACCAGGGCUUGACAUCCCUCUGCCGGGUACAGAGAUGUAUCUUUCCUUCGGGACGGAGGAGACAGGUGGUGCAUGGUUGUCGUCAGCUCGUGUCGUGAGAUGUUGGGUUAAGUCCCGCAACGAGCGCAACCCCUAUCUUUAGUUACCAACAGUAUAAGCUGGGGACUCUAGAGAGACUGCCGGGGACAACUCGGAGGAAGGUGGGGACGACGUCAAAUCAUCAUGCCCCUUAUGUCCUGGGCUACACACGUGCUACAAUGGUCCGUAACAGAGGGCAGCGAAGCGGUAACGCGGAGCGAAUCCCAGAAACCGGAUCCCAGUUCGGAUUGUGGGCUGCAACUCGCCCACAUGAAGCCGGAGUUGCUAGUAAUCGCGAAUCAGCAUGUCGCGGUGAAUACGUUCCCGGGCCUUGUACACACCGCCCGU